Long non-coding RNA from Daucus carota subsp. sativus, 533 nucleotides. RefSeq lists it as uncharacterized. The transcript has 2 exons. The record is from RefSeq and is a predicted model, not a curated record. NCBI's taxonomy places the organism in Eukaryota, Viridiplantae, Streptophyta, Magnoliopsida, Apiales, Apiaceae.
AAUUAAGAGGAAAUAGAGAGAGAGUGUGAGCUAGUCUUGGUGGGUGACUUAGAGAGAGAAGGAAAGAAAUCUUGCUGGGAUCAAGGAUUUGGUGUGUAAAAAAAAAAAAAAAAGAAGGAUCAGCUUGCAUUUGUGAAGGAAUAGAGAGAGAAAGAGUAAGAAGAAUUUAGUAAGAGAGAGAGAUUUUGGGCAAGAUUCAAGCUUUCGGGUGAUUAAGAGUAAAGAUUUAAUCUUUUAAGGGAAGAACAAGCUACUUUUAAGUUAAGAAUGAGGAUGAUGACCCGAGCCUACAAUCGAGGCAGAGAAAAGGAAAGGAGCCUGCACAUGGCGGGAGCAAUUUCCGAGGAUGCACCUGAACCUCGUAGCUAGUUAUUAUAUUUAAAUAAAUACUGUAUAACUUUUAAGUACUAUGAAGUCCUGCGUGACUAGACUUUUGGGAUAUGUACGUUGUGGAGAUGAUCCAAGGACUUGUGGAUUGGUACCCACUGAACUUAUAUUAUGGCUCUAUAUUAUAUUAACGUAUGUUUGCAGGU